CAGCUAAAAAAAAAAAAAAAAGAUAGAAAGCGGCUGCUCGUGACUUUGAUCGUAUUGUCGUCUGCAGCUUAUUUCACGCACAGUUACCGCAAAAUGACUCCAAGUUAGCUUUAUGGUAGGAUCAAAAUUGUCUUUGAGAAGCUAAAUGUGCAUUUUGCAACCAUCAAAGGCGAAACCGUAUUUGAUGUUUGUGUGUGUGUAUGUGUGGACGGGCGGGGGGUGGCAUCUUAGCAUCAUUGAAGACUUGAAAACAAAUUUGCCUUUGAUGUUUAUUAGCUUUAUUGAAGACUAAAUAUGUUUAGAUGUCUAUGGAAAAAAGUGUGCUAAUUUCACAGAUUUUUUAAUGUUUCUUUUUAUUAUUACAAAAAAAGUAAGUGUACGAGUCUUUGAUGUGCAUGUAUUCAAUGUUCACAUAAAAUAGUUAUCUUAAAAGACUCGAGUGAAAAUGCAAAUCUUUUCUUGGAUCGUCACAAAAAUGGCCUCCCUCUCCAUUUUAGAGUUCACACUAUUUGUUUUCAAAUCUUGAAAUGGUCUUGCUCUGAGCUCCUCCAAAAAAGUGUCUUGAGUGUCAUCUUCAUUCAUUUUCAUUUUGACCCCCCCCCCCCGAAUCAUUCCCGCCCACUUGUGCACUUAAAUCAGGGCCAAUUCAUCAUGUGACGGCACGCUGGCUGUUUCAUUUGGCAAACAAGAGGAGCCCACAUUGCACAUGGGGCAUAUGUUUACCCCAUGAAACGUUUUGGCCUCAGCUACGCCAUCCGUCUCUCUCGUCCUAUCUGGAUUUCAUUUAGCCUCAGCAGAUGGCGGCCAUGCUGAACUUGGAAAGAUGGCCGUGCCUUUUGACUCUCACGCUUUGGCUUACUGAGUUGCUUUUCCUUCGCAGGAAGAAGAAAUUAAUCUAGAUGUCGUGUCGGACAAAAUGAGGGUCAAGUGGUGUACCAAAUCGACAUCAUUAGUCUAGUGAAUUCACUUCUUACACUUGCAUGGCUAUUUGAAGCAUUGCCAGCAGUUUGUGUUGCUUGUACAAUGACGACUGUUCAAACCAGUAACAGAUUAUUUCAUCCAUCCAUCCAUUUUUGGAACCACUUUGUCCUCACGAGGGUCAGGGCAGAGCAUUUCUAUUUGCAUUGUUUCUAAUGCGCUGGAAUUUGAACGAAAUGUUUUGUUUUCAAGAUCCAUGCUGGCAUUUUGGGUCUGAUGGGCCUUUCGCAAUAACCACUUGAAAGAACACAUUUAUUCUUCCUGACCGUGUGGGAAUUUUUUGCUGAGCUUGCCGCCGGGCCACUCCCUCCUUAUUGGGCCAGUCUUUCGUUGAUGAGACAAAGGUCCUCGGGGAGCCGUCACCAGAAGCAAACACAAAACAGACAACUCGCGCACAGCAAAGCAACAUAGCAUUAAUCAGAAACACACACAAAAUUGGCAAAACUAUGUUGCUUGCACUGAACAUUCCAAAGGAUGUUUGUUUGUUUUCAGAUUUUUUGUUUUAACCAGAUAUUUAUGUUCAUUAAAGAAAUCUCUUUGAUGUU
Syngnathus acus (greater pipefish) is the source of this 1523-nucleotide long non-coding RNA. RefSeq lists it as uncharacterized. NCBI's taxonomy places the organism in Eukaryota, Metazoa, Chordata, Actinopteri, Syngnathiformes, Syngnathidae. The transcript is spliced from 2 exons. The record is from RefSeq and is a predicted model, not a curated record.